This 497-nucleotide ribosomal RNA is filed under the name uncultured bacterium. RNAcentral describes it as "partial 16S ribosomal RNA". It matches the Rfam family "Bacterial small subunit ribosomal RNA", at positions 28 to 507 of the family's 1533-position model. The record is from RNAcentral.
GAUGAACGCUGGCGGCGUGCCUAAUACAUGCAAGUCGAGCGAACAGACGAGGAGCUUGCUCCUCUGACGUGAGCGGCGGACGGGUGAGUAACACGUGGAUAACCUACCUAUAAGACUGGGAUAACUUCGGGAAACCGGAGCUAAUACCGGAUAAUAUAUUGAACCGCAUGGUUCAAUAGUGAAAGACGGUUUUGCUGUCACUUAUAGAUGGAUCCGCGCCGCAUUAGCUAGUUGGUAAGGUAACGGCUUACCAAGGCAACGAUGCGUAGCCGACCGGAGAGGGUGGUCGGCCACACUGGAACUGAGACACGGUCCAGACUCCUACGGGAGGCAGCAGUGGGGAAUCUUCCGCAAUGGGCGAAAGCCUGACGGAGCAACGCCGCGUGAGUGAUGAAGGUCUUCGGAUCGUAAAACUCUGUUAUUAGGGAAGAACAAAUGUGUAAGUAACUAUGCACGUCUUGACGGUACCUAAUCAGAAAGCCACGGCUAACUACGUG